UACGGAGGGUGCGAGCGUUGUUCGGAAUCAUUAGGCGUAAAGCGCUUGAAGGCGGCUUGGCAAGUCGGGUGUGAAAUCCCGGGGCCCAACCCCGGAACUGCAUUCGAAACUGCCUCGCUCGAGUCCCGGAGAGGAAGGCGGAAUUCCCGGUGUAGAGGUGAAAUUCGUAGAUAUCGGGAGGAACACCAGCGGCGAAGGCGGCCUUCUGGACGGUGACUGACGCUGAGACGCGAAAGCGUGGGGAGCAAACAGG
RNAcentral lists this ribosomal RNA (253 nucleotides) under uncultured bacterium. RNAcentral describes it as "partial 16S ribosomal RNA". It matches the Rfam family "Bacterial small subunit ribosomal RNA", at positions 524 to 776 of the family's 1533-position model. The record is from RNAcentral.